This is an unclassified non-coding RNA of Callithrix jacchus (white-tufted-ear marmoset), 291 nucleotides long. It matches the Rfam family "Metazoan signal recognition particle RNA". Rfam says of the family: The signal recognition particle (SRP) is a universally conserved ribonucleoprotein. It is involved in the co-translational targeting of proteins to membranes. The eukaryotic SRP consists of a 300-nucleotide 7S RNA and six proteins: SRPs 72, 68, 54, 19, 14, and 9. NCBI's taxonomy places the organism in Eukaryota, Metazoa, Chordata, Mammalia, Primates, Cebidae. The record is from Ensembl.
GCUGGGCACAGUGGCACGCACUUGUAGUCCCAGAUGCUCGAAGGUUGAGGUAGGAGAAUCGCUUGGGUCUAGGAGUUCUGGGCUAUAAUGUGCUAUGCCAAUUGGGUGUCUGCACUAAGUUCAGCAUCAAUAUGGUGACUUCCCGGGAGUAACCACUGGGUUGCCUAAGGAGGGGUGAACCAGCCCAGUCUGGAAACAGUUAAAAUUCCCAUGAUGAUCAUUAGUGAGAUGGCAUCUGUGCAUAAUAGCACAGCAGUCCAGCCUGGGCAACACAGUGAGACCCCAUCUCUA